RNAcentral lists this long non-coding RNA (922 nucleotides) under Homo sapiens (human). RNAcentral's name for it is "HSALNT0004166". Lineage: Eukaryota; Metazoa; Chordata; Mammalia; Primates; Hominidae. The record is from RNAcentral.
GCCUCCUGAGUAGCUGGGACUACAGGUGCCUGCCACCAAGCCCAACUAAUUUUUUGUAUUUUUAGUAGAGACGGGUUUCACCAUGUUAGCCAGGAUGGUCUCGAUCUCCUGGCCUCAUGAUCCGCCCGCCUCGGCCUCCCAGAGUGCUGGGAUUACAGGCGUGAGCCACUGUGCCUGGCCCAAUGUUGCAUAUUUCUCCAGGAACCCCUGCUACAAACUAGGGCUGAAAAUCCCCCAGGUGUCUCCAAGACCACGUGUGCCUGUGCUCAAGUGGGUACCUGGCUCUGCAAAGGUCACAGUGUGUGAGGGUCAUUUGCACUGGAGGGCCAGCUGUCCUGUCCUGAGCAGCCUUACAGAGAGGCCUGUGGGGCAAGAAACUUAGGUCUCACCCCAAUAACCAACAAGAAACCGAAGCCUGCUGCCCACAGCCCUGUGAGGAGCUUGACGGCAGAGUCCCCAGCCCAGUUGAGCUUUCCAAAGAUGGAAGCCCUGGCUGACGUGUUGGUUGCAGCCUCACAAGAGACUCUGAGUCACAGCCACCCAGAAAAACUUCUCAAUUCCUCUGUGACAUAAUGAAUGCUGUAAUUUUAAACACUGAGCAUGGGGCUAAUUUGUUAUGCAGCAAUAGAUAACUAAUACACCCUGCGAUAAUGUACUAGGAUUUGGGACAUCAGUCAUUUCCUCCUGCUUUACCCCACCCCAAACUACCGGGAGCCUGCUGUGCUAUGGGGAGCCCUCCUGGUCCAGCACAGCUGAUAGGACCAGGGGAGUCACUUGACCAAAGCCAAGACAAUUCAGUUGUCCCUUCUAGAAAUUCUUUCUUUCUCCUUUCUCCCUUCCUCCUUCCUUCCCUCUCUUCCUCCUCCCCUCCCUCUCUUCCUUUUUCCCUCCCUUCCUUCUUCCCUCCCUCCUUCCUUCUUCC